This 319-nucleotide unclassified non-coding RNA is filed under the name Bacillus pumilus. Its description in RNAcentral is "16S-23S ribosomal RNA intergenic spacer". The stretch from base 1 to 91 matches the Rfam family "Bacterial small subunit ribosomal RNA", at positions 1443 to 1533 of the family's 1533-position model. The record is from RNAcentral. Lineage: Bacteria; Bacillati; Bacillota; Bacilli; Caryophanales; Bacillaceae.
AUGGAGCCAGCCGCCGAAGGUGGGGCAGAUGAUUGGGGUGAAGUCGUAACAAGGUAGCCGUAUCGGAAGGUGCGGCUGGAUCACCUCCUUUCUAAGGAUAUAUGGAGCAGCGUACGUUUUCGUCUUGUUUAGUUUUGAAGGAUCAUUCCUUCAAAACAUGUCUCUAGCGAGACAGGAUUGUUCUUUGAAAACUAGAUAACAAUAAGUAAUACAUUCACAUUGAAUGCAAUGCAAAGUUCAUCACACAUAGUGAUUCUUUCUAAAGUAAGAAAUGGUUAAGUUAGAAAGGGCGCACGGUGGAUGCCUUGGCACUAGGAGC